AUGAUGUUUCUGCAAAAAACAAAAAAUAACUUCCCAUGCCGGGAAUCGAACCCGGGCCGCGUGGGUGAAAACCACGAAUCCUAACCACUAGACCACAUGGGAUGGCGUUACACGCUCUCUCUAACGAAGUACUUGUAACAGAGUGAAAAGAGGAGAGG
This is a non-coding RNA of Caenorhabditis elegans, 158 nucleotides long. NCBI's taxonomy places the organism in Eukaryota, Metazoa, Nematoda, Chromadorea, Rhabditida, Rhabditidae. The record is from Ensembl.